This 422-nucleotide ribosomal RNA is filed under the name uncultured bacterium. Its description in RNAcentral is "bacterial SSU rRNA". It matches the Rfam family "Bacterial small subunit ribosomal RNA", at positions 355 to 774 of the family's 1533-position model. The record is from RNAcentral.
UAAGGAAUAUUGGUCAAUGGGCGCAAGCCUGAACCAGCCAUGCCGCGUGCAGGAUGAAGCACCUAUGGUGUGUAAACUGCUUUUGUACGGGAAGAAACCACCCCUCGUGAGGGGUAUUGACGGUACCGUAAGAAUAAGGAUCGGCUAACUCCGUGCCAGCAGCCGCGGUAAUACGGAGGAUCCAAGCGUUAUCCGGAAUCAUUGGGUUUAAAGGGUCCGUAGGCGGGUCUGUAAGUCAGUGGUGAAAGCCCACCGCUCAACGAUGGAACGGCCAUUGAUACUGUUAGACUUGAAUUACAAGGAAGUAACUAGAAUAUGUAGUGUAGCGGUGAAAUGCUUAGAUAUUACAUGGAAUACCAAUUGCGAAGGCAGGUUACUACUUGUGGAUUGACGCUGAUGGACGAAAGCGUGGGGAGCUAACA